Molecule: long non-coding RNA, 926 nt
Organism: Cyprinus carpio (common carp)
Lineage: Eukaryota; Metazoa; Chordata; Actinopteri; Cypriniformes; Cyprinidae
Exons: 4
Source: RefSeq, a predicted model, not a curated record
CUGGGCGAGUGUGUGCUUCUGUGUACGUACAUGUACGUGUGAAAGAAAGAGAUCUAAGGGAUGCUCAGACUCUGAAGAUGGUGACUUGAUGACUCCGCAAAAUUAUCACAAACCAUUCCUGACAACUAAGGGAGACCAGGGCUGGACGUCACACAAUUUCUACUCCAAAUAAAUUCCUCAAGCACUGAAGCAGAAGUUUACACAGUGCCAGGAUAAACUGAAACUCUUCUUCAGGUCAACAUUCCCUUAGAUAUGGAGAAGAAAUGUGAUUAUGAUACAAAUCAACGUAGUUAUCUGCAACCCGACACUCACAGAAACCCUCCGAGGUGCGUCCUCACUGCUCUGAGGGGGAAUUACAGGCUGGAUCCGUGAUGAUGUGCAGCGAGUCUGUAUAUAGCUACUGGGAAUUCUGCCACACCGUCUGGAUAAAAGACAAAAAAAAAAAAAAAAAAAAAAAAAAAAAAAAAAUGGAAACAGUCUGCCCAUUUGUUAUUGUUCAGACAACAAAACAGGUGGACAAACUGCUGUACAUUAGGAAAAUGUGCACUGUCCAAUUUACCUUUGUGAGUGAGUAUGGUCACACACGCACAGUUUCCCAUCAGAUCCUGCUGUGCCAACACAAUGGGGCUGGCAGGUCUCCAGGACAGCACAUCUGGCACUUGAGAAAGCAGCUACAGAAGGUGAUGGGUAUGACUCAGGAACACAGCCAACAGCACAGACUCACUACACCACUGAGAGAGAAGGGGGAGUAAAACUCAUAACAUACUUGAGGAUAAGGAUACACAGGCUGUGAUCUCUGCUGUAUAAGGAGGUAAUCAGAAAUGUAGUGCUGUAUUUUUGAAAUCAUAUACACACAAUGGCCUGUUUCACCUGCAUUCAUAGUCUGGCAUGCACUCCACUCCAUGAAUAUACAUAAUACAUGUGUG